CCUUAUACAGCACCAAUAGGACUAGUGACACAGAACCUUGCCAUGCAGAUUGCAUCAGGCAUGCAUGGGCUCCCCUGUACUCUGCGAACGAGACUUGCUGAAAAUUGAAAAUUAAAAAAAAAAAAUCGGGGGAUUGCUGUGGGUGUAAAUUAGGGUGGUGAGCUAUCAUUUUUAUAUCUGUUUUUUUCUGUCUCUCUUUCUCCAUCGGGACUUCUGUUUCACUCUUUUGGCUAAAUUUCACCACUUGCCCUGGCCUUUUAGAAGCUUGCAAGCAAACAUGAUUAAGGAGUGAGCGCUGAGAACUGGAAGGCUGACAAUGUGAGAUCUUCAAAAUGUAAUGAGCCAAGAGGUUCGUCCACCACCGCCAGGCAAGGCGCUGCCACGGGGGCGGGUGGCUAGAAGAAGAUUCACGGCGAGUCAUGCAAGGAGUCGUCAAGAAAUGACAGUAAACCAGGGUGGAGUAAAAGGAGGAGGAGGAGGCUUUGGGCGAGCCGAGGCACCACGACACCAGCAGCAGCAGCCUAGCUGGCGACACGAUCCUUCUGGUCUCGCUUCGGGCAGGGACACGCAGGGAAAUGCAAUUAGUGCAGUAUAGAGUUGACGUUCCAGCAUAUGGCAUUUCCAACACUGUUUUUACCGCAGGGAAAAUGAGGGACUUUUGGGGGCAGAUGUGUUUUACUUGCACUAUCAUAAUGCCCCUAAAAAUCCUUAUUGCUCUUGCAGUGUUCUUCAUUGGUUCAUUGCUUCAUAAAGCAGAGGAGACCUCUCAGAACUGUAAUAUUGUGUGUUGACAAUGGCAAAUAAAAAUCUGUUACAGAGCUUGACUGCUUUUGAGCAAACAACAGGACAGCAGCAAUCAUAGCAAUAAAAUUUACUGCAGUUAAUUUACAAGCACAAUUGUAAUGUUUUUUCCUAAGAAAAAGAGAUGACAAUGUAAGCAUCUCCCCAGGUAUUAAAUGCUGUGACGUGUGUGA
This is a long non-coding RNA of Protopterus annectens (West African lungfish), 974 nucleotides long. RefSeq lists it as uncharacterized. NCBI's taxonomy places the organism in Eukaryota, Metazoa, Chordata, Ceratodontiformes, Protopteridae. The record is from RefSeq and is a predicted model, not a curated record. The transcript is spliced from 2 exons.